Molecule: long non-coding RNA, 393 nt
Filed under: Cricetulus griseus (Chinese hamster)
Lineage: Eukaryota; Metazoa; Chordata; Mammalia; Rodentia; Cricetidae
Description: lncRNA (ENSCGRG00000025864.1)
Source: RNAcentral
AACACAAAUAUAUAACUUUACUAAAAAAAAAGUACAAAUUAAAACUUGAUGGCUCUUGCCUUGAACUAUCCUCUGUUGUCUCCAGCAUAGAUGGCCCUGGGCUGACCCAGCAUGCCUUUCCCUGUGAAGGAACUGAGAGCUUUGAAAGCUCUGGGGUGUGCUGGUCUAGUCCACAGACCCCUUUGUGGCCUUUGGUAAGCCUCUUACCUUCUAUGAAUGCUACUUUUUCCAUCUGCAAAACGAAGACUGGAUAGAGCACCUCAGAUGAAGGCUGCGGGAGGAGCUAGAGCAGCUUGCAAUGUGCCCAGGAACCAGCCCUGCACAGGGUCGAGACUAGACCAGGGACUUGGACUCCUUCAGAGAGCGGUUGCCAUGCAGCGGUGUUUAUUCAAG